CCGGCAAACGGGUGCGGAACACGUACACAACCUUCCUUCAAAUGGGGAAUAGCCCAGGGAAACUUGGAUUAAUACCCCGUAAUAUUAUGAGGUGGCAUCACUUUAUAAUUAUAGCUCCGGCGUUUGGAGAUGGGUGUGCGGCUGAUUAGGUAGUUGGCGGGGUAACGGCCCACCAAGCCUUCGAUCAGUAACUGGUGUGAGAGCACGACCAGUCACACGGGCACUGAGACACGGGCCCG
This 239-nucleotide ribosomal RNA is filed under the name uncultured bacterium. RNAcentral's name for it is "partial 16S ribosomal RNA". It matches the Rfam family "Bacterial small subunit ribosomal RNA", at positions 95 to 334 of the family's 1533-position model. The record is from RNAcentral.